This 7660-nucleotide long non-coding RNA is filed under the name Podarcis lilfordi (Lilford's wall lizard). The record is from RNAcentral. Lineage: Eukaryota; Metazoa; Chordata; Lepidosauria; Squamata; Lacertidae.
CACCAGAGUUCUAAAUAUCCAGAACAUGCGGAAAAUCUUUAGGAGUGCAGCUUUCCUGGUUAGUGUGUCCCUCACCUCACCUUACGGAUGAGCAGCUUUUUGGAGGAUGGAGGGUAGUAUUAUUACAUUAUCUCUUCGUUUUAAUGUCCAUGAAGGAGGCAUGAGCAUUAAGUAUUUAAGCCUCUCUUGCAUGAAGCAGGCGUGGGGAACCUGUACCUCCUGGUGUGUUUGAGCCCAAACUCCCAUCAGUCCAGUGGCCCCAGAUGAUGGGAUUUGAGGUCCAUCCUAAUCUGGUGAGCCACAGUUUCCACAUUCCCGGCAUAGUGAAACUCUGUCGCUCUCUUUGCUACCAUUUUAGAAGGGUAAAAUUAUGAAAUUCUUAACACUUGGCCUACAAUAUGUUAUCUUUAUUCUUUGCUGUUAAGCCAGAGAAACAGCUCCUUACAUUCUGGCAUUAAUGGGAUAAUGGUUUGGUGUCAUGGUUAUUCUAACACAGGCACCCCCAACCUGCAUCCCUCCAGAUGUUUUGGCCUACAACUCCCAUGAACCGUAGCUAACAGGACCAGUGGUCAGGAAUGAUGGGAACUGUAGUCCAAAAUAUCUGGUGGGCCACAGGUUGGGGAUGCCUGUUCUAACAAAUCUCAUUAUCCUGAUCGCAUGGUGCGCCAGGCCAUACAGCAGUAGUAGAAGACAAGGCAUGCAGUACAUUUGCAGCGCAGGUGGAAAACUGCCUCCUGAGUGUUUUACAUUGACAUUGCAGUAGCUGUUGAUAGAACUACCUUGCAAGAGAAUGCCAUGCGAUGACUUGUUCAACCGGUUGUCUUGUAACAUUCUCCGAAGUGUUUAGAAAAGAGGGUCCUUAAAACACAGUUGAGUUGCCCUUUACUACACAUUGAAUGAAGUGCAAGAACUGUGUUAUGAAGGAUAUGUGUAACUGAGAAGGCAUAGAUCAUUGUUAAGGGGGCUUUAACAGGAUGCUGUUUAGUGAGAUGCUUUGUGCCUUCUUUGGUGAUCACUCGUAGCCGAGCAAGAUUGUCUUCCAUGAACACGUUCUUAACAGUUGUGUCCAUAAGUGACUGUGGAAGCCAAUUCUGGAUCUGCACGUCUAUAGUGGGGACAUACGUUUCCCGGCGUGAUCACAGUGAGGAUUUGCCAAACAUGCCUUCAUCUUGGCACGUUUCUCCCUUUCUGCGUUCGUGCUUCUUCAAAGUCCUGGAUGCCUUUGGUCAAGGCUGUUCUCCAACUGGAGCGAUCGCAGGCCAGUGAUUCCCACUUGUCUGUGUUUAUACUACAUUUUUAAAGAUUUGCCUUGAGAACACCUUUAAACCACUUUUGUUGUCCACUGGCAUUAUGCUUACCUAUCUAACAUUGGGAAUAGAGUACGGUGGUACCUCUGCUUACGUACUUAAUUCGUUCCGGAGGUCCAUUCUUAACCUGAAACUGUUCUUAACCUGAGGUACCACUUCAACUAAUGGGGCCUCCUGCUGCCGCCGCACGAUUUCUGUUCUCAUCCUGAAGCAAAUUUCUUAACCCGAGGUACUAUUUCUGGGUUAGUGGAGUCUGUAACCUGAAGCGUAUGUAACCCGAGGUACCACUGUAGUUGCUUUGGAGGAUGAUAAUCAGGCAUCUGAACAACAUUACCAGUUCAACGAAUUUGAUGUUGAAUCAUUGCUUCGACACUGGUCGUUGCUUUUUCCAGUACACAUUUCUUUGCCUGUUUCCCCAAGUGAUAUGUAAGACUACUGCAACUUGGGAAGGAAGUGCUUUUGAAAUAUCCCAAAAUAAGUUCUGUUCUGAGGUCUCCCAUCAACCUUGUCUCCUUUAUGUUAGAAUUGUGACCAUUAUAAUUGUUGGUCUAAGUAUAAAGCUUAUACUUAGUUGGUCUUUCAAGGUGCUACUGGAAUUAUUUAAAAAAAAUUUUUUUGAAAGAUUAUUUUAAAGACUGUCUUGAGACAAAAGACUUGAUUCUCUUAAGGGAGUUAUUUUCAGAUCAUUGAAUAAUAAUUAAAAAGUUAUAUUUCAUCUUGUUAUUUAUUAUAAUUGUUCUUAAUUCUGUGGCCUAGAAGUGCACAUUGUACAGGCUGGAUUAAACAAAAUAGCUGUGCUAGCAGAAGCCAGUGCAUCAAAUCCUGCUAGUUCAAUGGGGGGCUUCCCCCUGUCCUCACCCCACCCCCUCCAUUGGCUUUGGGGGGAUGAGAAGAACCCCUAGAUCAGCACACAGAUGAAGGACAGGGGAGAUAGUUCCAUCCAACAAGCAGAAAGGCUUGUGCUGAUAGAAAAGUCCUUAACACUACCCACCUUCGAUUUCUAUAAGACACAAUUUUAAAUUAAGAUAGGGCUGAAGCAGAGAUGCUAAUGUAAAUUUUUAAAAAUACAGAAGACUUAGGUGAUGUGAUUUCCUGGCUUGCUUCCAUUUUUACAAUCUGUUGAAGAAUAGGUGCAGUAAUUUCAUUGCGGACAUUUUCAGUUGGCUCCAAAUUUGUAAGACUGCCACACUUUAGCUGAUUAUUUUAUUAGGUGGGAUAUGCAAAGAGCAGAACUCAGCCUUUCGUUGGUAUUGCAUACUGCCUGAUACACUUCAUGUCUUCUUUCUGAUGUCUUGAACUAAUCUCCAUUGCUAAUGAAUUCCUUGAAGCUGUGUGUUUGCAGAGGCGUCCUAUGACCUUGGGACUCCUUUGGGGAAAAGGGUGGGAUAUAAAUUUAAUAAAUAACUGAAAUAAUUAAAGUGGGGGAAGCAAAUGCUCAGACAAUAAGCUCCUUGGAAUAAAGUGGUCACUUAAAUAUCAGCAGAAGGUUUUCAGAUAUCCAUGGUUUUCAUUUGACGAGGGCUGGAUUUGACUUGAAAAGUGCAUGUAACUUCACAAAGAUGUAAACCUGAGGUUUUGAGAAGCCUGCAAUCCUGAAAUGUAGUAUUUUUUCUAUGUAGGAGAUUCAUGACGGGAGUGUGGUCUUCUCCGCCCUAUUCUAUUUCAAGCUCUUAAAAAAAAGAAAGACUUAAAUCUUUGUGGGGUGGGGUGGGGGUAUAUGAUAUUGACUUUGACUUACCGGUAACAAUUUUUAUUUUCCUUUGCAAAGCUAGGCAAGGGCCCAUUUUCAUUAAAUAUGUUUGCAUUAGCAUAGAAAAAGCAGGUCACAUUUUACUUCACAUUGCACCCUUAGUAUAUCAGGUACAGCGAGUCCAGGUGACAAUUUUAGGCAAUGAAUUUAUAUAUGGGAAAGCCUGCAUAUAGCAUUUUCGUAACAUCUUACAUAUAGCUAGAUCCUCGGAGGCAUUGCCAACCUGACCCAUGGGCACCGGGUUGUUGACCCUCAUGUAUUUUUGUGGUGGUUUGGGGUUUUUUGUUUUACAAGGAAAAUUUAUGUGUAAUUCUGGUCUAUGUGCAGUGUAUUUGGGGGGUAGAGACUGAGUGGUGUGGACACUGGGUCAGUUUUGUCUACUUAGGAUUGGAUAGUGCUCCCUUGUAAGUGUGCACCUUGUGUGUGCUCCUAGGCUAGUGUUGUGAAUAUGCAAUUCCCAAGUAUUUUGGGUACAGCCAAGUGUUAACAAUGGUUCAGUUGCUCUAGUUCCAAACACCUUAAAUUAAAACUGUUAGGUGCAUCCCAGUCUUCUUUUUACCUAUACUCUAAGGGCACAAGCCUAUUAUGCCCUUACCUGGGAUUUGUUACAGCACAAAUAUGCCUAGGAUCAGCCUGCCCAUGCCUAUAAUUCAAACAAUCAGGCCCUUUAUUUAAACAUGAUUAUUUCGUGGGUGUUUGCUAAAAUCCUAGGCGUGUUCUUCCAUGAUUGCUACAGUCCGUAGCGAAGAGCUGCACCUUAAAAAUACACUUUUGGAAGUCUCCCAGAUGCGCAGGCGGACUCCAUUUGCGGACUAUUUUGCAAAAUGCUCUCUGCACAUGGUCAAAGACGGUCUUGACGGCAUGUUUCAGCGCCUGAAAUUUAAUUCCACCGAAUAGUUGGGUGUGCUUGUAGCUGUGGGGGAAUGUAACUGCUCCUCCGCCGGAUUGUCCGGCUAACAGUGCAGUCUAUGCCCCGGUAUUAAGUCUUCGUGAACUCAGUGGGUCUUAUUUCCAGGUGUUAGGAAGCAUGGCUGAGGCUCCUACAUUCACGUCCAAAAUGGCGGCGGAGCACCCGACUACACUCUGAGAGAAAUGUGUCCCCUCUCUCGUGCUCAAACUACAACUCCCACCAUGCAAUGCGAAGACCGCCGUUCGUGACGCGCCCCUGCCGCCCGCCGCGUGACGUAUAAAUAGCAACCGACCGCCUACAUCUGCCUUUCCUUUGCUGCCGCCACCGCCAUCUUGUGCCGGAGCUGUUCUGUGGUGGCUGGCGAGGUCUAUCCGUCGCCAUCCGGCCACAGCCUUGCUGCCUGUUCUCAGGGACUGAGCCCGGGGGACCCACCCCGACAUGAGAGCUAAGGUGAGUGGGGUAUCGGGCUUGGAUAGCGAGCUGACCCGUGAACGUAGCUGGGCUCGAGGCCUGCGUUGCCGUCUUUUGCUAUGGGGCGGGCUAUUGUUUCGGUUGGCCAGGUACGAAAUGGGGAAGGUUAUUAUGACGAGCGGGGAAGUGGAAGAGUUGCCAAGACCGCCUCGUGCUUCUCUGCCAGGCGAGGCCCUCCUGAUAUUUUGGGCCUACACGGUGAUAGGAAACCCUGCUGAGGCCUAGGUGCGCGAUGGCGUGUGAAUAUAGAGAGUUGGGCCUCGCAGCUUGGAGAGGGUGGAGGAAUAGCUGGUAAAGCGAGUGUCAUGGGGCGAUUCUGCAUGAGAAGCGAGUCUGUAAACCUGAUACGGUACUUGAUGAAGGCAUUUAUCAGGGCCGCCCUGAGUUUUGUUAGUGACUAUUGUACAUGCGCAUUUAGGCGUCAGUCCCAUUGAACUUGGUGGGGCUUUCUCCUAAGUAAGCAGUGCACAAGAUCGCACUAUCAAAUGUUUUAUUUCUGGGCCCCAGGUUUGUAGAGCUGCUGUUUGAAUUUUUAAAUUGACAUCAAGACUCUGCCAAGCUCCAGAGUAGCAAUUUUAGGAAAUGACACUAGUGGAUAAAAUGCUGUUGGUGCUGGGCCCAUUUUUUAAAAAAAACUACAAGUUGAGAUCUUGCACCUCAUAUAUGUUUAAAUACCAGUGUAUUUGUGUUACUCUUCUGGGUUUUGGUGCUAUAAAAAACGCUGACUUUGUCUUUCCUUUCUCUCCCCUUUCUCUAGUGGCGAAAGAAGCGAAUGCGCAGGUAUGUGAGCAUGUGUUUUUAUUUUACUGUGCAACCCACUUGUUUGCUUUGCUUUUGAAGAUUCUUGAUUAGAGUUCUCGAAAGUGCAUUGACUAAUUUAGUGAUACCGUUGUAACAACAUGGGCAUCUAAAAUUUUAAAUAGUGGCUGUUGAAAAUUAAAAUCUGAGGACCCCACUUGUUUCUAAGUUCAAAUUUGGUCUACUGGCUAUGCAGACUUAGUGAACUCCCAGUAUGCUUGCUUAAUAAAUUCCGUUGAGCUCAAUGAGGCUUAAUGUUAAUGUUGCUAGGUUUCUUACAUUGGUGCAACCAGAAGUCCAUACCAGUUACUGAUGCAAAGAAUCUAGGCAAGACAGAUGCAGAUGAGCUAUACAAAUCCUAGGUUAUCUAAAUCGCAGGUGGAUGAAGACAUGCUAGCAGUGUGAUGGAGCAGUGGCUGUUCUGCAAGGCAGUGCUUUAGAAAAAUGAGUGAUAAUUCAAAGUAUAAGACUUCCCAGUAAUAUAAUGGAAAGCAUACAGUCAGGAUGAAUACAGACUGCCACAUGUUGCAUCCAGAGAAAUAGGCCUUCCCUCAAGCCUGUUCAUCACAGAUUCAACCAGUGUAAAACAGCAAGUGAACCUCACUGGGGAGGCACAGAAAAUAAGCCGAACACAGGUCAAUCACUAAUGCAUGAGGCCAGUGUACAGAGGCAAUUUCCUUGCAUAGAUGCAUGCCUGAAUGCAAUGAUAUCCAUACUAACCAAAGUAGAAUUAGCCUUCUCUUUGACUACAACCCCUUUUUGUUUUUGAGGCACUUAUACCUCAGUGCUUUCCAUUCGUUCUUGUUCCCAACAUAAGCUUUGCACCCACUAGGGAUCAUAAAUACAGAAACAUUAGAAUUGGUGCUAUGUGAAACAGCCCUGCAGCUGUUGUAUAUAGUUAUCUGAGACACUCAGUUUGUACUUUGGAACACCCACUAGCAGAUAAACGAUUUAGCACAGUGGGGCUUGGAUGAAACACGCCUAGGAUUGUAUUGCAUAUGUGAUAAAUGAGAAUUUCAUUGAGGGCAGGAUCUCAACUUUUGGUAAAAAGCUACUGUUUGAGAUGGUAGGUAAUCUUUCAUUUUCCCUUCACUGUUGAAUACCUUAAGCAGUUGAGAACUUAAGUGUGAAUUAUUUUGCUUUUUUUAUAUGAUCCUCUUCUCCCGCCCCCCAAUGCCCUCCUCCCCAAAGUAGGUAUCAGUACUUCUCCACUAGUGAUCAGUCACCAAUGCUUCUCCUUCCCCUCCUCAGAAAAGUACAGAGGGAGGCUUCUGUGGUGGCUCUUCUACUAAUCAGGACAGGUUGCAAUAAUGCAGGCAGUAGUGGUGCUUUUAUUGCAAUAAAAGUGGAAAAAUAUCACUCCCUGCAUUAUUGCCAUCUGUUCUCAGUUGACGGGGCAAGACAGCUACAGGCUUUGCCAAAAUCAUUCUCUCCAAUGCCUCUGGGCUCUGCCUGUAACAUACAUGUUGGGAGUAUGAAAUUGUGAUGCCAAAGAAAUUAAGUGUUUCUACUGACAACUGGAAAGUUGUUGGCUGCCUGUUUAGUGCCGGGCCUGGUUCACAUUGGUGGCCCUCUUUAACCUGAUUUUUUUUUUUACCUCUAACCUGCUUAACAGGAAUGGAUAGGAGGCAGGAAGAAGAGCUGCUUGAACUGCAUCUUGUUUUGCUUUUCUCAGUUGCCUUUUGAUUCUGCAAGUAACUGGUGUGGUAGGAAGGAUAUUGGAGGAAAUGACUUACUUUAGGAAAAGUGAACUAAACAUUUAUUUAGUUAUACAAGUAUUUCUGUACUGCCAGUAUUAGGGUGGGGUACAACAUCGAAACCUUAAAUGCUAUUGAGAAGAAUACAGAUAAUCAUUAAAGUAGCUGGCUAAUCUAAAAUUAAGUGGCUUCAAAGACCUGUUGGCAUAAAAGCCUUCAAGAGAAACCUGAAAGGAAAAAACGGUACCUACUGAAUCUCUGCAGAAACAAUUUUUCACUUCAUGCGACUGGAAACACUACAUUGCCUUAUGGUAGAAUGUUUCGUUAGUAUUGACAAUUAAAAGAAUAUUAUCCCCUACAGGCUGAAGCGCAAAAGGAGAAAGAUGAGACAGAGGUCCAAGUAGAUGUCUCUCAGUGCUACUGAAGCUGCAGAACCAGAGCAUGGAAGGGGCAGAGCUUGAAAAGCUGAUUUCCAGAUAACACCUUCUAUUUGCUGCUGCUAGAAGACUCCUUGCCUAUCUUCAGGAGAUUCCAUCUUAAAGCUUAAGAGCGGUGAUCUUUCAAGGGGUGUGUGGGCCCCAGAGCUUUACUCUUCUGGACUGAUCUUGUUCUUUGUGGCUUGAUGUAGUGACUUGUAUACAAUAAAAUUCCUUUUUGGGGGGAAUUCAGCACAUUUUUUCCCCGUACCAAAUGUUGACAUUGUCAGUAAAAAGUUUGAAACAGUUAC